GCCUCUGUGGCGGAACUGGUAGACGCGAUAGACUCAAAAUCUGUUGUCCGCAAGGACGUGCUGGUUCGAUUCCGGCCAGGGGCACCA
Molecule: transfer RNA, 87 nt
Filed under: Holosporaceae bacterium
Lineage: Bacteria; Pseudomonadati; Pseudomonadota; Alphaproteobacteria; Holosporales; Holosporaceae
Description: tRNA-Leu
Rfam family: tRNA
About the family: Transfer RNA (tRNA) molecules are approximately 80 nucleotides in length. Their secondary structure includes four short double-helical elements and three loops (D, anti-codon, and T loops).
Source: RNAcentral